GACUUGUGACCAGUGAUGGGUGUUGCUUCUGAGAAUGAGGUGGUCCUGAGCCUGGGUCUGCUGUGAGCCACUUGGGUGAGGUCUCGAGUACCUGUCUCUGGCCUUGUCAGGCCCUGCACCUCACUGGGACCCUGCCAUCAAAAAGGAAUCCGACACACAUCUGUACUCCCAUUUCUCUGGAGGCUGAGGCAGGAGCAUGGCAAGUUCAAGCCCAACCUGGACUGCAUACCAAGGCCCUAUCAUAAAAGAAGUCUCAGGAACCUCCGCAGUAUUUUCCGCCGUGGCUGUAUCACGGUCCCCUCCCACCGACUUGGGUUCCAGUUUCCUGCC
Molecule: long non-coding RNA, 330 nt
Organism: Fukomys damarensis (Damara mole-rat)
Lineage: Eukaryota; Metazoa; Chordata; Mammalia; Rodentia; Bathyergidae
Exons: 3
Source: RefSeq, a predicted model, not a curated record